GGUUAAGUUAGAAAGGGCGCACGGUGGAUGCCUUGGCACUAGGAGCCGAAGAAGGACGGGACUAACACCGAUAUGCUUUGGGGAGCUGUACGUAAGCGUUGAUCCAGAGAUUUCCGAAUGGGGGAACCCACUAUCUUUAGUCGGAUAGUAUCCUUACGUGAAUACAUAGCGUAAGGAAGGCAGACCCAGGGAACUGAAACAUCUAAGUACCUGGAGGAAGAGAAAGAAAAAUCGAUUUCCUGAGUAGCGGCGAGCGAAACGGAAAGAGCCCAAACCAAGAAGCUUGCUUCUUGGGGUUGUAGGACACUCUAUACGGAGUUACAAAAGAAAGUUAUAAAUGAAGCGGUCUGGAAAGGCCCGCCAAAGACGGUAACAGCCCGGUAGUUGAAAUGGCUUUCCCUCCAGAGUGGAUCCUGAGUACGGCGGAACACGUGAAAUUCCGUCGGAAUCCGGGAGGACCAUCUCCCAAGGCUAAAUACUCCCUAGUGACCGAUAGUGAACCAGUACCGUGAGGGAAAGGUGAAAAGCACCCCGGAAGGGGAGUGAAACAGUUCCUGAAACCGUGUGCCUACAAGUAGUUAGAGCCCGUUAAUGGGUGAUAGCGUGCCUUUUGUAGAAUGAACCGGCGAGUUACGAUUUGUUGCAAGGUUAAGCGGAAAAAGCGGAGCCGUAGCGAAAGCGAGUCUGAAUAGGGCGCAUAAGUAACAGGUCGUAGACCCGAAACCAGGUGAUCUACCCAUGUCCAGGAUGAAGGUAAGGUAAUACUUACUGGAGGUCCGAACCCACGCACGUUGAAAAGUGCGGGGAUGAGGUGUGGGUAGCGGAGAAAUUCCAAUCGAACUUGGAGAUAGCUGGUUCUCUCCGAAAUAGCUUUAGGGCUAGCCUCGAGGUAAAGAGUCAUGGAGGUAGAGCACUGUUUGGACUAGGGGCCCUUCUCGGGUUACCGAAUUCAGAUAAACUCCGAAUGCCAUGUACUUAUACUCGGGAGUCAGACUGCGAGUGAUAAGAUCCGUAGUCGAAAGGGAAACAGCC
RNAcentral lists this ribosomal RNA (1032 nucleotides) under Listeria monocytogenes. Its description in RNAcentral is "partial 23S ribosomal RNA". It matches the Rfam family "Bacterial large subunit ribosomal RNA", at positions 1 to 1027 of the family's 2925-position model. Lineage: Bacteria; Bacillati; Bacillota; Bacilli; Caryophanales; Listeriaceae. The record is from RNAcentral.